This 433-nucleotide ribosomal RNA is filed under the name uncultured bacterium. Its description in RNAcentral is "partial 16S ribosomal RNA". It matches the Rfam family "Bacterial small subunit ribosomal RNA", at positions 29 to 507 of the family's 1533-position model. The record is from RNAcentral.
AACGAACGCUGGCGGCAUGCCUAACACAUGCAAGUCGAACGAGACCUUCGGGUCUAGUGGCGCACGGGUGCGUAACGCGUGGGAACCUGCCCUUAGGUUCGGAAUAACUCCCCGAAAGGGGUGCUAAUACCGGAUAAUGUCUUCGGACCAAAGAUUUAUCGCCUUUGGAUGGGCCCGCGUUGGAUUAGCUAGUUGGUAGGGUAAGAGCCUACCAAGGCGACGAUCCAUAGCUGGUCUGAGAGGAUGAUCAGCCACACUGGGACUGAGACACGGCCCAGACUCCUACGGGAGGCAGCAGUGGGGAAUAUUGGACAAUGGGCGAAAGCCUGAUCCAGCAAUGCCGCGUGAGUGAUGAAGGCCUUAGGGUUGUAAAGCUCUUUUACCCGGGAUGAUAAUGACAGUACCGGGAGAAUAAGCUCCGGCUAACUCCGUG